UUUAGACUCACGCAGCAGUGACAGGUUAAGUGACUAGCUUUGAGUCAUGUACUGAGUCAGUGGUGGGGAUAAAACAUACAACCUGAACCAUUGGACCGUACUGCCUGCCUACAGGAGCAAGUCAUAAGGAGUAAACUAGAAACAUCUACAGAUGGACACACCAUAGGAGAGAACUGGAAGACAGCAGAAGACAACCUCAUACAACCUCGAAAAAACACCCCUUGAGGACAAUGAAACUAAAGAAGCCCUGCACUUUCCAGUCCAGCUGGUAUAAAGGAGAGAUGUUCCUAAGAAAUGGUGUCUCAGGUCAGACCUGAUGAGCCACAAGGAAGGUCACAUAGACGCCUCAAAGCUUUUCAAACAAUGGCAACUUGCUGAUCCCUAUUGC
Molecule: long non-coding RNA, 388 nt
Organism: Polypterus senegalus (gray bichir)
Lineage: Eukaryota; Metazoa; Chordata; Cladistia; Polypteriformes; Polypteridae
Exons: 3
Source: RefSeq, a predicted model, not a curated record